UGCUGGGAGGGGGUUAUCCGGUCCCUCCAGCGCUUCUGUUCUCCCACACACUGAUUUCUUGGAGUUGCCAAGAAGGGAUGCUCACGCCCAGAGCCCGGCGGCCAGAAGCCUAUUAGAAGAGCAUCUGCCAGCGUGUGCUCAUGAGCAACGGGAGGAUGUCCUGUAACCACAUGGCCCGGACACAUCCAUCCUAACCCACCAGCUUCACAUCGUCACUGCAGCAAGGCACUCUCCAUAUUCCUUCCAAUGGAUCUCAGGAAAGGAGCUGUUUCAAAUCUCUUUCCUUCCCAAGCUUCCCGUGCCUCUCCUCAGUGGAGAGCCAGCUUCCUGCAAGUCCCCACAAACACCAAAGUAUUGACAAUGGUCCUUUUUAUGAUGGUAAACAACUGGAAACAAAUAGUUGCCCCAUCUGCGGGGGAAUGAAUAAACAUGGUGGCACAUGAAUACAGUGGAAUAUUACUGUUAUAAGAAUGAGAUAGAUGAUGCACACUGAAAAACAUGGAAAGAGCUUCAUGAAUUGUGGUAGAGGCAAGUCAAGAACACAAUGGACCCAACUUUAACAAUGUAAAGAAACAGACAUGUCAAUCAAAAUUAUAAAAUUAUAAAGCAUUAGCAUGGGGGGAGCUCAGGGGAGCUAUAUAGAAGGUUCUGGGUUCAAAUCUAGCUCCAGACACCUCCUACCUGAGCAAGUCAUUUAACCCCCAUUGCCCAGCCCUUACUACUCUUUUCCCUUGGAACCAUGACAGUAUUGAUUCUAAGCACACAAAGUAAGGGUUUAAAAAAGUUAGCAUGCAUUGGAAGCAGAGAGCCAUUUGCAUGGCAGGGCAGUCCACAAGUGUUGCAUAUUACAAUCAUUUUUAGACUUUUUUCAAUAUAUUGAUCCAUCUCAUUUUUUCUUUUUUUUGGCUCUUUGGCUCUAAAUCCUCAUUAUUCGUCUGUUUCCGAUGCUUAGGAAGUCGUGUUUGUUCUUCAUUUCAAAGUGGACCAGUGACAUCACAGGCUGUCUUGAUGUGUUAUAGCUUCUUGGAGCUACAGAUGAGAGUUGGGUGAAAGGUGGACAUCAAAGGGGAUGAGCAGCCUUGACAAGCCCUCCCACCCACCUCCAUCACCUUGGAGGCCUUGUAGGGAACCAAGGAGGUAGCCUAAUUGGUACUUUUGAGCAUGAAAACUACAAGUAACCAGAAAAUGUUACUUCGGCUACCAUUUUCCUAUAGGGAACAUCAUUCGAGAUAUUUGUUUCUACUGAUCUGAUCAAAUACCAAACUAGGCAAGAUCACCCAGGCCUAGCCGAGAUGUUAAAAUCAAAAUGUACAACCUAACACUUCCCUACCUAGGUGGCUACAUGGCGCAGGGGACGCUGCUGGACUAGAAGAAAGGCCAGAGUUCAAAUCCUACUUUGAACCCUAAAAGGUAUGGACCAUGAGCAAGUCACUGCUCAGCUUGAAUUUCCCCACUGGUGAAAUGGAGAGAGGAUAGUUAGCACACCAAAAGAUCUAAUAAGAACCCUACAGCACCCCAUCAGUGCUUUGGUGACCACUUACCAGUGAGGUCAAAGUGAGGAGCAGAAUUCCCAUUGAGAAGUCCAAGGAUCUUUGUUCUGUUUUUGGAUGGAUGCCGCCAUUGGCUGCUGGUGAAUCACACAGCAUUGCUACUCUUGGGGGAGAGACAUAGGUGCGUACAAGAGGCAAAUGGGGCCUUCUUUUCCUGUGAAGGGUAUUGUAUUGACAUUUUGAUAGCAAGCAUGACCUUCUCUCUGCCAUUGGCCACAUUCCUCAGCUAGAUCCGUUGCUCUUUAUAAUGGAAGCCUCGGAGAUAUCAGGAAAAAUUAGUCAAUAGGUGGUGGAUGUUGCCUUCCGGGAGGAUUUUCUAGUUCCCUAUUGAAAACAGUUUGUGAGAACUCCCCUCUCCUAGACUAGAACAUGGUUCUAGGAGAAAUCAUUCUGUAUUUCGAUAUACACAGAAUAAAGCACAAAAACCAAAGUAGCCUUUUCCAUUAGACACAGUUUAAUUCAUUGAAAAGUGCAGCAGUGAACAGGGUCCUUGGAAGGGCACUUUCUAAACCAUAUGAAAUAAUACAAAGUAGGGGUAUGGUUAACAAGACAGAGAGUCAAACAAUACUAUGACCGGACCUCAGUAUCAUAACCAAAGGACUAAAAAGGAGCAUCUGCUUUGGUGGUUUGGUCGACUGAGAUCACCUUCCAGUGUAAAUUCUGGUAAAGUGGUGUUAAAGCCUUGGUUUUCUCCUCAUGUACAUUUGGAACAACAUUUCCCCCCCACAAAGGGUCCCAACCUUAAAACGUGACAAGUUAUAACGGUCCAUUGAAUGAUUUGCCAUGCUAGGGAACGCACGCUGCCCACAUUCUCUCGCUAUUCCAACAAAAUCUGUGGUUUGGUAGACCAAAGUAAACUUGUGGAGUGUCUGAAUCUGUCGGAUUACUGAGUGAGAGGCAGCUUCCUAAGGGAAGGGUCGUAAGGCAAGGCCUCUAUUUAUCUGGAGUUACAUGGCUCAUUGGUAAUAAAAGGUGCACACAGGGCAUAGUCAUCUCAAGAAAAAGUAGCACAAACCCUCCAGCCACGAUAUGGAUGGUCAAUACCAGUGGUGGAGAAAAACCUCCUGGGAGGGAUCAAGUCUGUUUUUUCCCCUGAAUAUGGCACCAGGUUUUAGAAUUGUCAAUACUAUGCUGCCCCUCCACCCCCCAAACACCAGAAGUUCCUUUGCACCAUUUUACAAAGGAUGGAGAACCAAUGAACAUGACUUGGGAGAUGGAAAGAGAAAGAAGCCAUGGAACUUCUUCCAUCACUUGGAUAUUGCGAGGGAAAGGGGCAGCAGCAUUGUAGGCAGUCAGCUUUAGUUGGUUUUGUGUGAUAGGUGCCUAUGUAUUAAAACUGGAAUAGGGGAAUGAUAUUCUCAAUGACUGAAUGGGAAAAUAUUUCUUUUUGCUCUGGAAAAAUGGCAAUAUUUAUUUUCAUUAGUAAGUACUAUAUACUGUGUUAGAUGAGAAUCAGUUUGCUUACAUGUUUUUUCACCCUUGUAAAGAAUCAAAUGUAAAGAACAAAAAGUCAGCCCCCAUAUUAGUGCGACAUCCUGGCCCGUCUUAUGCCAUUUCGGCUUAAAGAAUGGCCUUUCAAAGAACACUAACUAGAAAUCUCCUCCUGCUAAGAGUUUGCCACAGGGAUAACAUGUAGAGGUUAAUCUGAAUUCCACAUGUAAAUCAAGAAUCCUAAGCGAAAUGGGAAUCAUGUAAAGGGAUAAAUCCUAGGGCUGUUAACCAGAAUUGCUAUCUAAGGAUGAAAAACAAGACAUUUAAAGCUUCACAUACAAUCCUAAAUAAAGCUAAAAAUCUUUUUUUUUUUUUUUGCCUGAGACGAGUCAGUCCAUUAUGAACCACAUAUUCCUUCUGCCUGCCCGCCUAUAAACUGGCUCUCGUUUUUAAAAAGUAGAUACAAGUUAGACAGCAAUACUGCAUGGUGUUAAGAUCCCUCAGGGUGGGAAACAUGACCACGGUUAGUUUUUCUCCACAGUGAGAAGCUAUAAGAACCAGAGUUAAACCACAGGAGAUUCUAACACUUUUAAAUUAUUUAAUGAUUUCAGACAGGAAAGGGGCAGAAUUUUUAUACUUCUAGGCAACCACCAAGGGAAAAAGAGGGGGUGGGCAAUGGGAAAGAUGUGAAAAACAGGCUUGCCAAUAAAUUGGCACAGAAGAGUCAAAAAAAAGUCAAGGCAGGCCAAAAAACCAAUUACUCGACAGGUGGUCAAAA
Non-coding RNA from Monodelphis domestica (gray short-tailed opossum), 3759 nucleotides. Lineage: Eukaryota; Metazoa; Chordata; Mammalia; Didelphimorphia; Didelphidae. The record is from RefSeq and is a predicted model, not a curated record.